Molecule: non-coding RNA, 73 nt
Organism: Stegodyphus mimosarum
Lineage: Eukaryota; Metazoa; Arthropoda; Arachnida; Araneae; Eresidae
Source: Rfam
ACCUUCGUGAUGCAGUGGUCAUCACGCUCGACGCGUAACCGAGAGGUCCGUGGUUCGAUUCCCGGCGAAGGCG